GAAUCCGAGUUACCCUGAGUUACUGGCUGCAUAUCAGUGCGGGUCCGCAGCAAAUUCAGUCCUCGCCUCCUGAGAAGAAAUAAGUCGAGUGAGGGGCCUAAGACAGAAGAGACCAAGGUUUCACUGUUCCUAGCUAAAAUUCCAGGCUCUGUUGCAUCUCGUUAUGUUAAUAUGACACAGUUCUGGCUAAUAACAUAGAGAUGUAAGUCCCUGAGAGAAGGCUUCCUUUCAGAAAUUUGUCUUCAGAAAUAUAAAAGGCAGACCCCUUUGAAGGCAUUGAGGAGACAGAGAGUUUCUUUGUAGCAAAGGACAGAUUGGCUUACAUCGCUGGAAGACAGAGAUAUCAUCUUCCUCUGAAGCAAAUGCCAGGCUUUCACUGAUGGAUGCUUAAGUUGAUUCCAUGUCCUUGCUACUGUGAAUGAAUAGUCUUGCA
Molecule: long non-coding RNA, 433 nt
Organism: Symphalangus syndactylus (siamang)
Lineage: Eukaryota; Metazoa; Chordata; Mammalia; Primates; Hylobatidae
Source: RefSeq, a predicted model, not a curated record